RNAcentral lists this long non-coding RNA (2508 nucleotides) under Homo sapiens (human). RNAcentral's name for it is "non-protein coding lnc-TMEM178A-1:13". Lineage: Eukaryota; Metazoa; Chordata; Mammalia; Primates; Hominidae. The record is from RNAcentral.
GGCUCCGCGCGCCUGCCAGGCCGGGGCCGGCGGCGGAACAGCUUGGGACCCGAAACGCCUCGGCUUUUCUGCGGACCCGCGCCCGGCCGCUGCCGCCGGACGCUUGAAAAGAGGCAGAGUCUUGCUUUGUUGUCCAGGCUGGUCUUGAACUUCUGAGCUCAAGUGAUCCUCCCGCCUUGGCCUCCCAAAGUGCUGAGACUACAGAGAGAGAAUGCUAACGAGCUGUGAAAUGACCAAAGAUCUGGCAGCAGAAGGGAAAAGAAAAAAUAAUGGGAAGAAGAGGAUUUAUCUGACUCAACUGGAGAUGGCUCCCUUCCCUUAUUUAUUGUUGCAUCCUGAAGCUUCCCCCAUGCUGGGCUCAGUGUGAACAAACAGCGCGGGAGAAUGCAACCACUGCAGAGGCAUAUGUUUGAGAUACCUGGCCACUGGAGGUCAUCUCGUCUACUAUAUUCACCGCAGAUAAAGAAUGAAAAGAGAAUACACAACCUUGUGAUUGCUAGCAGUGAAAGCUCAGAGUUAUGACAUAACAAGUGGUUGAUCAUACUGUAAAACUCAAAUGUGAAGGGAAGGCUGGAACCUACUGGAAACUGAAGAUCUAACGAAAAGAAGGAACUUUUAGGAACUAGCAGAGACUUCAAAAUGUUGAGAACUCUCUUUUUUCAUAAGAGAAGAUAAAAACUCUGAUGGUCACACUCAUAAAGACAAAAAACAAAUAAAAAACAAACAAAAACUCAGAAUCACAAGAGCAAAGAAAAUGUAGGUAAAACAAUAACAGAAGAGGUAAAGAAAUUUAUGUGAAUUGGGACACUCUGGGGCACAGAACAGAAGAGGAGAAGAAACAUGAAAGUAAUGCUCUGCACAAGGAUGUCUGACUGUCCUUGAUUCCAAGGGCAUUUAAAAUUAGCCACUGGAUGAGAACCAUGAAAUGCCAUGACUCUUACAGCUCCCAUGAAAGACAUUGGAUGGAACUUAUCCUAACUGGACCAAAUUCUAAAAAAUUUUACAUGAUAUUAUAAUGAGUUGAAAGUUGAAAAAAAAAAGCUCUUCUAGAUUACCAAGAAUAAAACACAAAUUUCUAGCUGACUGAAUUAAUUCUCAUCUCUCUAUAGAAAGAUCAUAGAAAUUUUUUUUAUCAUGCAAAGAAAUAGCUAAAAAUUUACAAAAAUAUAGACGUGCAUUAGGCAGCUCAUGAAUAAAUGCGUUUUUUCCUUUUUUCCUCCAGAAUUUUGUGAUGUUUAUGGUACUUUUCGGCUUUUAAAAUUUUGUAUUUAAUCAGGAUUUAUUACUUCAUUGUAAGUAAAUAUUAAAUUUGUACUCCAUCUUUGUUUGUAAUUUUGUAUAUUUUUCAGUAAAAAGGACUCCCCAGAUUAUGUAAGCUUUAGGCCCCACAAAAUCUAGGCCUGUUGCUGUAUCCUUUCUAGAGCAGUGUUUCUCAAACUUCAAUGUGCAUUUGAAUCUCCUGGGGCUCCUGUUAAAAUAUAGCUUCUGAGAUGAUGCAUUUCUAACAGACUCCCAGGGCUGACACUGCCCAUCUGGGGACCACACUUUGAGAAUCAAAUAUCUAGAACAAUGGUUCUUACCUGGCUGUGCAUUGGGAUCAUUUAUAGUGCUUUUGGAAAAUACAUUGUGUCCAGGUCCCACCCAGUUCUCAGUAGGCUUGGAAUGGGGUCCUACACUUUUUUUUUUUAACUCCACAGUUUGGGAAAGAAGCCUUUUCAUAUAUUGUUGGUGGGAAUACAAAUUGAUACAGCCAUUUUUGAGCUUGAUUUGGCAAUAUCUUCCUUGGAGAAAUCAAAAGCCAGUUGGCAAGCCAGUCUGGAAAAGGCAGUUUACUGAUUCCCACCCGAGGGUCACAAAGCAGGUAUAGAAGGAUGGGCUUUGGCUGAAAUAUAUGAUGGGUACAGGUAUAUUCUCUAUAAUCCAGUAUUUCCACUGCUGAAAACGUAUCCUAGUAACAUUAUACAUAUCAAGCCUACAUAUAAAGUUGGUCAAUUCCAUAUUAUUUGUAGUAGGGGAAAACUGAAAGCAGUCUACAUGCCCAUCAAUAGAUUAUUCAAAUUAUGGAACAGUUUUCCAAUGACAAAACAAUAGCUAAUCUUAGUUAAGCAAUUAUUAUGUUAUGUAAGGUAGACAUUGUUCUACCUUAUUUAUAAGUAUUAAGUUAGUUUUUAUAACUAUCAUAUUUCCAUUUUACAAAUGACAUAAUUUAUAUUAUUGACAUGGGAAGAUGUCCAAGGAUAUAAUAAGCAAAAAGCAAGUAGCAAAACAUUAUGUAUAUUAUGCAUUACCAUUAUAAUAUACUAAAAAGUAAUGCACUUGAUUCUGAUGCACACUCCCCAGUAGGUAACAACUUAUCUAGUGUAAAAAUGAAAGAACAUUCUGGGCCGGGCACGGUGGCUCAUGCCUGUAAUCCCAGCACUUUGGGAGGCCCAGGUGGGCGGAUCACAAGGUCAGGAGAUCGAGACCAUCCUGGCUAACAUGGUGAAACCCCGUCUCUACUAAAAAUAC